GAUGAACGCUGGCGGCGUGCCUAAUACAUGCAAGUCGAGCGAACAGACGAGGAGCUUGCUCCUCUGACGUUAGCGGCGGACGGGUGAGUAACACGUGGAUAACCUACCUAUAAGACUGGGAUAACUUCGGGAAACCGGAGCUAAUACCGGAUAAUAUAUUGAACCGCAUGGUUCAAUAGUGAAAGACGGUUUUGCUGUCACUUAUAGAUGGAUCCGCGCCGCAUUAGCUAGUUGGUAAGGUAACGGCUUACCAAGGCAACGAUGCGUAGCCGACCUGAGAGGGGUAUCGGCCACGCUGGAACUGAGACACGGUCCGGACUCCUGCGAGGGGCAGCAGUAGGAAAUCUGCCGCAAGGGGCGAAAGCUGGACGAAGCGACGCCGCGUGAGUGAGGAAGGUCUUCGGAUCGAAAAACUCUGUUAUGAGGGAAAAACAAAUGUGUAGGUAACUAUGCAGGUCUAGGCGGUACCUAAUCAGAAAGCCGCGGCUAACUACG
RNAcentral lists this ribosomal RNA (495 nucleotides) under uncultured bacterium. RNAcentral's name for it is "partial 16S ribosomal RNA". It matches the Rfam family "Bacterial small subunit ribosomal RNA", at positions 28 to 505 of the family's 1533-position model. The record is from RNAcentral.